Molecule: ribosomal RNA, 435 nt
Filed under: uncultured bacterium
Lineage: Bacteria
Description: partial 16S ribosomal RNA
Rfam family: Bacterial small subunit ribosomal RNA
Source: RNAcentral
AACGAACGCUGGCGGCAGGCUUAACACAUGCAAGUCGAACGCAUGCCUUCGGGCAUGAGUGGCAGACGGGUGAGUAACGCGUGGGAACCUACCCCUUGGUACGGGAUAGCUCCGGGAAACUGGAGAUAAUACCGUAUGUGUCCUGAGGGACAGAGAUUCAUCGCCAAGGGAUGGGCCCGCGUCGGAUUAGCUAGUUGGUGGGGUAACGGCCUACCAAGGCGACGAUCCGUAGCUGGUCUAAGAGGAUGAUCAGCCACAUUGGGACUGAGACACGGCCCAAACUCCUACGGGAGGCAGCAGUGGGGAAUAUUGGACAAUGGGCGCAAGCCUGAUCCAGCCAUGCCGCGUGAGUGAUGAAGGCCCUAGGGUUGUAAAGCUCUUUCACCGGUGACGAUAAUGACGGUAACCGGAGAAGAAGCCCCGGCUAACUUCGUG